This 413-nucleotide ribosomal RNA is filed under the name Vulpes ferrilata (Tibetan sand fox). Its description in RNAcentral is "partial 16S ribosomal RNA". It matches the Rfam family "Bacterial large subunit ribosomal RNA", at positions 1820 to 2459 of the family's 2925-position model. Lineage: Eukaryota; Metazoa; Chordata; Mammalia; Carnivora; Canidae. The record is from RNAcentral.
CUCCAGCAUUGCCAGUAUUGGAGGCACUGCCUGCCCAGUGACGUCCGUUAAACGGCCGCGGUAUCCUGACCGUGCAAAGGUAGCAUAAUCAUUUGUUCUCUAAAUAGGGACUUGUAUGAAUGGCCACACGAGGGUUUAACUGUCUCUUACUUCUAAUCAGUGAAAUUGACCUUCCCGUGAAGAGGCGGGAAUAUUACAAUAAGACGAGAAGACCCUAUGGAGCUUUAAUUAAUCAGCCCAAACUUAUGAACUAUAACCCCCACUGGGAAUAACAUACUACCAUUGUUAUGGGCUGACAAUUUAGGUUGGGGUGACCUCGGAAUAUAAAAAAACUCCCGAGUGAUUAAAAUUUAGACCUACUAGUCAAAAUGCACUAUCACUUAUUGAUCCAAUAAUCUUUGAUCAACGGAACA